GAUGAACGCUGGCGGCGUGCCUAAUACAUGCAAGUCGAGCGAACAGAUAAGGAGCUUGCUCCUUUGACGUUAGCGGCGGACGGGUGAGUAACACGUGGGUAACCUACCUAUAAGACUGGGAUAACUUCGGGAAACCGGAGCUAAUACCGGAUAAUAUUUCGAACCGCAUGGUUCGAUAGUGAAAGAUGGUUUUGCUAUCACUUAUAGAUGGACCCGCGCCGUAUUAGCUAGUUGGUAAGGUAACGGCUUACCAAGGCGACGAUACGUAGCCGACCUGAGAGGGGGACGGGCCACCAUGAAACUGAGCAACGGGCCAACCCCCGAGGGGGGGCAGAAGGAGGGAAUUUUCCGAAAGGGGCGAAAGCCUGACGGAGCAACGCCGGGGGGGGGAUGAAGGGUUUCGGAUCGUAAAACUCUGUUAUUAGGGAAGAACAAACGGGUAAGUAACUGUGCAGGUCUUGACGGUACCUAAGCAGAAAGCCACGGCAAACUACGU
Molecule: ribosomal RNA, 496 nt
Filed under: uncultured bacterium
Lineage: Bacteria
Description: partial 16S ribosomal RNA
Rfam family: Bacterial small subunit ribosomal RNA
Source: RNAcentral